RNAcentral lists this ribosomal RNA (304 nucleotides) under uncultured bacterium. RNAcentral describes it as "partial 16S ribosomal RNA". It matches the Rfam family "Bacterial small subunit ribosomal RNA", at positions 506 to 807 of the family's 1533-position model. The record is from RNAcentral.
CAGCAGUAGCCGCGGGAAUACGGAGGGAGCUAGCGUUGUUCGGAAUUACUGGGCGUAAAGCGCGCGUAGGCGGUUACUCAAGUCAGAGGUGAAAGCCCGGGGCUCAACCCCGGAACUGCCUUUGAAACUAGGUGACUAGAAUCUUGGAGAGGUCAGUGGAAUUCCGAGUGUAGAGGUGAAAUUCGUAGAUAUUCGGAAGAACACCAGUGGCGAAGGCGACUGACUGGACAAGUAUUGACGCUGAGGUGCGAAAGCGUGGGGAGCAAACAGGAUUAGAUACCCGUGUAGUCCCUGUCUCUUAUAC